RNAcentral lists this ribosomal RNA (274 nucleotides) under uncultured bacterium. RNAcentral describes it as "partial 16S ribosomal RNA". It matches the Rfam family "Bacterial small subunit ribosomal RNA", at positions 523 to 796 of the family's 1533-position model. The record is from RNAcentral.
CUACGGGGGAUGCAAGCGUUAUUCGGAAUCAUUGGGCGUAAAGGGCACGCAGGCGGUUCUGUCAAUCAGAUGUGAAAGCCCGGGGCUUAACCCCGGACGUGCAUUUGAAACAGCAGGACUUGAGUAUGGUAGAGGAAAGCGGAAUUCCUGGUGUAGAGGUGAAAUUCGUAGAUAUCAGGAGGAACACCGGUGGCGAAGGCGGCUUUCUGGACCAAAACUGACGCUGAGGUGCGAAGGCGUGGGUAGCGAACAGGAUUAGAAACCCUAGUAGUCC